GUUGUCUCUUCCACAUAUUACUCGCAGUCAGCGACAGAGGGCUUUCCCACGCCAGGCCUGCAGAUCCCAGUCGGAAGCUUUAUCUAUCCUGCCCCUUGGGGGACUGCGGCUGGCUUUCCCCCAUGAGACCUAUUCUGUAUUGAACAGGAAAGCACAAACAAUCACAAUGCCCAGCAAAGAUAAAGUGUUUUCCAUGCUCUCUGUUACGACAGUGAUCCCCAUAGAGACGUAAUCUUCAGUUUACGGAGACUUUUUUCUGAGUCCCAAAUUGCAGGAAUCUGUGGGGUUUUCCCCCUAACCUUGCCCUUCCACCCUUCGUGGAUCCUCCUGGAAUGGUCCACAGGCAUCUAUAUCUGCUGUCCCCCAACCCCACCAGCAAGGGGCGCGCGAGAUGAAACAGUUCUGUCCUGGGAUGUACCACCGAGGGGUAGCGGAAAGACCACCCACUCUGGAAGGUACCAUUGGGAGAGGGCGUGUGACAACAGAGAGGGUCCCCUUACACCGCGUCGGGCAUGGACCGCAGUUCCCAGCAGCGGCACUCAUGGCGCCACUAGGUCCAUCCCCACUCGCUCCUCUUCGUCUUCCCACUGCUUUUGAAUCCGAGUGGACACAGAAAUAUCAGUGGGCAAGUGGCGUCAACAUUGGGACCUAUAGAUCAAGAUUCCCCAAGCUGGAUGAACCUGUGGUUGACCAGCAGCCCAGUGUUGAGCAACCUCAACAAGAGGAACGGCCACCUGAGAUUCAGGAUAUCACACCUGAAAAGGAGGAAGUAAAUGGAGAGGAUCCGGUGAAUCAUAAUGAAGAGAAGGAGAAGGAUGCCUCUGGAGAGUAA
This 832-nucleotide long non-coding RNA is filed under the name Bos indicus x Bos taurus (hybrid cattle). RNAcentral's name for it is "lncRNA (ENSBIXG00005005958.1)". The record is from RNAcentral. Lineage: Eukaryota; Metazoa; Chordata; Mammalia; Artiodactyla; Bovidae.